Molecule: ribosomal RNA, 1470 nt
Filed under: uncultured bacterium
Lineage: Bacteria
Description: bacterial SSU rRNA
Rfam family: Bacterial small subunit ribosomal RNA
Source: RNAcentral
AUUGAACGCUGGCGGCAGGCCUAACACAUGCAAGUCGAACGGUAACAGGAAGAAGCUUGCUUCUUUGCUGACGAGUGGCGGACGGGUGAGUAAUGUCUGGGAAACUGCCUGAUGGAGGGGGAUAACUACUGGAAACGGUAGCUAAUACCGCAUAACGUCGCAAGACCAAAGAGGGGGACCUUCGGGCCUCUUGCCAUCGGAUGUGCCCAGAUAGGAUUAGCUUGUUGGUGGGGUAACGGCUCACCAAGGCGACGAUCCCUAGCUGGUCUGAGAGGAUGACCAGCCACACUGGAACUGAGACACGGUCCAGACUCCUACGGGAGGCAGCAGUGGGGAAUAUUGCACAAUGGGCGCAAGCCUGAUGCAGCCAUGCCGCGUGUAUGAAGAAGGCCUUCGGGUUGUAAAGUACUUUCAGCGGGGAGGAAGGGAGUAAAGUUAAUACCUUUGCUCAUUGACGUUACCCGCAGAAGAAGCACCGGCUAACUCCGUGCCAGCAGCCGCGGUAAUACGGAGGGUGCAAGCGUUAAUCGGAAUUACUGGGCGUAAAGCGCACGCAGGCGGUUUGUUAAGUCAGAUGUGAAAUCCCCGGUCUCAACCUGGGAACUGCAUCUGAUACUGGCAAGCUUGAGUCUCGUAGAGGGGGGUAGAAUUCCAGGUGUAGGGGUGAAAUGCGUAGAGAUCUGGAGGAAUACCGGUGGCGAAGGCGGCCCCCUGGACGAAGACUGACGCUCAGGUGCGAAAGCGUGGGGAGCAAACAGGAUUAGAUACCCUGGUAGUCCACGCCGUAAACGAUGUCGACUUGGAGGUUGUGCCCUUGAGGCGUGGCUUCCGGAGCUAACGCGUUAAGUCGACCGCCUGGGGAGUACGGCCGCAAGGUUAAAACUCAAAUGAAUUGACGGGGGCCCGCACAAGCGGUGGAGCAUGUGGUUUAAUUCGAUGCAACGCGAAGAACCUUACCUGGUCUUGACAUCCACGGAAGUUUUCAGAGAUGAGAAUGUGCCUUCGGGAACCGUGAGACAGGUGCUGCAUGGCUGUCGUCAGCUCGUGUUGUGAAAUGUUGGGUUAAGUCCCGCAACGAGCGCAACCCUUAUCCUUUGUUGCCAGCGGUCCGGCCGGGAACUCAAAGGAGACUGCCAGUGAUAAACUGGAGGAAGGUGGGGAUGACGUCAAGUCAUCAUGGCCCUUACGACCAGGGCUACACACGUGCUACAAUGGCGCAUACAAAGAGAAGCGACCUCGCGAGAGCAAGCGGACCUCAUAAAGUGCGUCGUAGUCCGGAUUGGAGUCUGCAACUCGACUCCAUGAAGUCGGAAUCGCUAGUAAUCGUGGAUCAGAAUGCCACGGUGAAUACGUUCCCGGGCCUUGUACACACCGCCCGUCACACCAUGGGAGUGGGUUGCAAAAGAAGUAGGUAGCUUAACCUUCGGGAGGGCGCUUACCACUUUGUGAUUCAUGACUGGGGUGAAGUCG